Molecule: long non-coding RNA, 336 nt
Organism: Vespa crabro (European hornet)
Lineage: Eukaryota; Metazoa; Arthropoda; Insecta; Hymenoptera; Vespidae
Exons: 2
Source: RefSeq, a predicted model, not a curated record
UCUCUCUCUCUCUCUCUCUCUCUCUCUCUCUCUCUCUCUCUCUCUCUCUCUCUCUCUCUCUAUAAGCGGGGACUAAUCGAGGCCAGUGCACACACCUCUCGGAGAAUGGGUGAAAACGUGGGGGAGGGGGAGAGAGAGAGAGAGAACGUUCGGUGAAACUCGUGGAGGUAGCGAUGAAUGUGGAAGUAAAGAGAAAGAGGAAGGGUGAGGUUAGAGGGUUGAGGAGGAGGUGGUGAGGAACUUCUCUCGAGCUGUCGACGGGCCUCGAGUAUUAUUCUCGGUAUUCUAGUGUAACACUCAACGCCGUUUGUAGAGGAGAGGAGGAGAAGGAAGAGA